GUCUAUGGCCAUACCACCCUGAAUGUGCCUGAUCUCAUUUGUUCUAGGAAGCUAAGCAGGGUUGGGCCUAAUUAGUACUUGGAUGGGAGACACAGAUGUUGAUAGCACUGGGACGCAGUCA
RNAcentral lists this ribosomal RNA (121 nucleotides) under Prolemur simus (greater bamboo lemur). Lineage: Eukaryota; Metazoa; Chordata; Mammalia; Primates; Lemuridae. The record is from RNAcentral.